This is a non-coding RNA of Paramuricea clavata, 209 nucleotides long. NCBI's taxonomy places the organism in Eukaryota, Metazoa, Cnidaria, Anthozoa, Malacalcyonacea, Plexauridae. The record is from the annotation of a GenBank genome assembly.
UGAAAAUUUUAUCACUAAGCAACUAGAAAAUAUAAAAGAUGCUGGUGUGGCCGAAUAUUAAAGCUCUGCUAUUGACGUGUGCACUACCUUUUCUGCUCUUCACCUCGUGUUAUGGUCAUUGGCGCAACCGUUGUCAUAUUUGUAGUCGCAUGAAUCAGAAACAACAUAGAAAGUUUGAUCCAUUAGCAUUUGGAAUUCUUAAACAUCGA